Non-coding RNA from Helianthus annuus (common sunflower), 90 nucleotides. The record is from Rfam. Lineage: Eukaryota; Viridiplantae; Streptophyta; Magnoliopsida; Asterales; Asteraceae.
UGCCGAUGAUGACGUAUAUUGUAUUGUCCGUACCAUCUGAAAGGUUUUAUAGCCUUGUUUGAUUAUACUCACAUCCAAUGUCUGAGGCAU